GCGGCGGUAGUCUAGUCUGGUUUAGGAUGGCGGCCUCCCAAGCCGUUGAUCCCGGGUUCAAAUCCCGGCCGCCGCA
This 76-nucleotide transfer RNA is filed under the name Pyrobaculum islandicum DSM 4184. RNAcentral's name for it is "tRNA-Gly (CCC) (tRNA-Gly-CCC-1-1)". It matches the Rfam family "tRNA". Rfam says of the family: Transfer RNA (tRNA) molecules are approximately 80 nucleotides in length. Their secondary structure includes four short double-helical elements and three loops (D, anti-codon, and T loops). The record is from RNAcentral. Lineage: Archaea; Thermoproteati; Thermoproteota; Thermoprotei; Thermoproteales; Thermoproteaceae.